GGUUAAGUUAAUAAGGGCGCACGGUGGAUGCCUUGGCACUAGGAGCCGACGAAGGACGUGACAAACGACGAUAUGCCUUGGGUAGCUGUAAGUAAGCGAUGAUCCAGGGAUUUCCGAAUGGGGGAACCCAACAGGUAAUACCUGUUACCCACAUCUGUUAAGGAUGUGAGGAGGAAGACGCAGUGAACUGAAACAUCUAAGUAGCUGCAGGAAGAGAAAGCAAAAGCGAUUGCCUUAGUAGCGGCGAGCGAAACGGCAGGAGGGCAAACCGAAGAGUUUACUCUUCGGGGUUGUAGGACUGCAAUGUGGACUCAAAGAUUAUAGAAGAAUGAUUUGGGAAGUUCAGCCAGAGAGAGUAAUAGCCUCGUAUUUAAAAUAGUCUUUGUACCUAGCAGUAUCCUGAGUACGGCGGGACACGUGAAAUCCCGUCGGAAUCUGGGAGGACCAUCUCCCAACCCUAAAUACUCCCUAGUGACCGAUAGUGAACCAGUACCGUGAGGGAAAGGUGAAAAGCACCCCGGGAGGGGAGUGAAAUAGAACCUGAAACCGUGUGCCUACAACAAGUUCGAGCCCGUUAAUGGGUGAGAGCGUGCCUUUUGUAGAAUGAACCGG
Molecule: ribosomal RNA, 612 nt
Filed under: Streptococcus pneumoniae
Lineage: Bacteria; Bacillati; Bacillota; Bacilli; Lactobacillales; Streptococcaceae
Description: partial 23S ribosomal RNA
Rfam family: Bacterial large subunit ribosomal RNA
Source: RNAcentral